This 512-nucleotide ribosomal RNA is filed under the name uncultured Burkholderia sp. RNAcentral's name for it is "bacterial SSU rRNA". It matches the Rfam family "Bacterial small subunit ribosomal RNA", at positions 879 to 1395 of the family's 1533-position model. The record is from RNAcentral. Lineage: Bacteria; Pseudomonadati; Pseudomonadota; Betaproteobacteria; Burkholderiales; Burkholderiaceae.
AGUGCGGUCGCAAGAUUAAAACUCAAAGGAAUUGACGGGGACCCGCACAAGCGGUGGAUGAUGUGGAUUAAUUCGAUGCAACGCGAAAAACCUUACCUACCCUUGACAUGGUCGGAAUCCCGCUGAGAGGUGGGAGUGCUCGAAAGAGAACCGGCGCACAGGUGCUGCAUGGCUGUCGUCAGCUCGUGUCGUGAGAUGUUGGGUUAAGUCCCGCAACGAGCGCAACCCUUGUCCUUAGUUGCUACGCAGGAGCACUCUAAGGAGACUGCCGGUGACAAACCGGAGGAAGGUGGGGAUGACGUCAAGUCCUCAUGGCCCUUAUGGGUAGGGCUUCACACGUCAUACAAUGGUCGGAACAGAGGGUUGCCAACCCGCGAGGGGGAGCUAAUCCCAGAAAACCGAUCGUAGUCCGGAUUGCACUCUGCAACUCGAGUGCAUGAUGCUGGUAUCGCUAGUAAUCGCGGAUCACCAUGGCGCGGGGAAUACGUUCCCGGGUCUUGCACACACUGCCC